AGGAUUCCCCUAGUAACUGCGAGUGAAGAGGGAAAAGCUCAAAUUUGAAAUCUGGUGGUUUCUUGUGACCAUCCGAGUUGUAAUUUAGAGAAGUGUUACCCGCGCUGGACCGUGUACAAGUCUCCUCGAACGGAGCAUCAUAGAGGGUGAGAAUCCCGUAUAUGACACGGACUCCCAGGGCUUUGUGGUGCGCUCUCAACGAGUCGAGUUGUUUGGGAAUGCAGCUCUAAAUGGGUGGUAAAUUCCAUCUAAAGCUAAAUAUAGGCGAGAGACCGAUAGCGAACAAGUACCGUGAGGGAAAGAUGAAAAGAACUUUGGAAAGAGAGUUAAACAGUACGUGAAAUUGUUGAAAGGGAAACGCUUGAAGUCAGUCGCGUCUCUCAGAGAUCAACCUGGCCUUUUGCUUGGUGCACUCUCUGUGGGAUGGGUCAGCAUCAAUUUUGACUGGGGGAAAAAGUCGGUGGGGAUGUGGCACCCUCGUGGUGUGUUAUAACCUGCUUGCAUAUACCUCUGUUGGGAUUGAGGAACUCAGCACGCCUAAAGGCCGGACUUUAGUCACGUACGUGCUUAGGAUGCUGGCAUAAUGUCUUCAAUCGACCCGUCUUGAAACACGGACCAAGGAGUCUAACAUGCGCGCGAGUGUUUGGGUGAAAAACCCAAGUGCAUAAUGAAAGUGAAAGUUGAGACCUCUGUCGUGGAGGGCAUCGACGCCCGGAUCAGAUCUUUUGGGACGAUUCCGAGGUAGAGCGUGCACGUUGGGACCCGAAAGAUGGUGAACUAUGCUUGAAUAGGGUGAAGCCAGAGGAAACUCUGGUGGAGGCUCGUAGCGAUUCUGACGUGCAAAUCGAUCGUCGAAUUUGGGUAUAGGGG
Molecule: ribosomal RNA, 870 nt
Filed under: Stephanospora sheoak
Lineage: Eukaryota; Fungi; Basidiomycota; Agaricomycetes; Agaricales; Stephanosporaceae
Description: eukaryotic LSU rRNA
Rfam family: Eukaryotic large subunit ribosomal RNA
Source: RNAcentral